This 297-nucleotide signal recognition particle RNA is filed under the name Cebus imitator (Panamanian white-faced capuchin). Its description in RNAcentral is "Metazoan signal recognition particle RNA (ENSCCAG00000015235.1)". It matches the Rfam family "Metazoan signal recognition particle RNA". Rfam says of the family: The signal recognition particle (SRP) is a universally conserved ribonucleoprotein. It is involved in the co-translational targeting of proteins to membranes. The record is from RNAcentral. Lineage: Eukaryota; Metazoa; Chordata; Mammalia; Primates; Cebidae.
GCCAGGCAUGGAGGCACAUGCCUGUAGUCCCAGCUAUUCUGGAGGCUGAGGCUGAAGUAUUACUUGAGCCCAGGAGUUUCAGGCUGCAGUAAGCUAUACUCACAGGGUGCCCACACUAAAUCCAGCAUCAAUGUGGUGACCUCCGAGAAACCAGGGAUUACCAGAUUGUGUAAGGAGAGGUGAACAGGGCAGGUUGGAAACAGAGGACACCAAAACUCCCAUGCUGAUCAGUAGUGAAAUUGUGCCUGUGAAUGGCCACUGCACUCCAGCCUGGCAACAUAGUGACAAACCAUCUCU